GGUGACUCCAUCAGACUCCUCAUGAAGGGGUAGACCAGGGCUGCAGAGAUCCCCCUCCGCCUCUCCACCUCAUCCAGGAUCUACACACAGCACAGGACAGGGGGUUGAGAGUUAGACCACACAGCACAGGACAGGGGGUUGAGAGUUAGACCACACAGCACAGGACAGGGGGUUGAGAGUUAGACCACACAGCACAGGACAGGGGGUUGAGAGUUAGACCACACAGCACAGGACAGGGGGUUGAGAGUUAGACCACACAGCACAGGACAGGGGGUUGAGAGUUAGACCACACAGCACAGGACAGGGGGUUGAGAGUUAGACCACACAGCACAGGACAGGGGGUUGAGAGUUAGACCACACAGCACAGGACAGGGGGUUGAGAGUUAGACCACACAGCACAGGACAGGGGGUUGAGAGUUAGUCCACACUGCAGACACAACACUCAAUAUUUCAAACAGAAAGUCCCAAAUUCCCUAUAUGGUGCCUUAUGGACCGUGGUCAAAUGUAGUGCACUAAAUAAGGAAUAAUGUUUCACUCGGGAUGUAGAUUGAGAAUCUAGUAAUAGACCAAGACCAAGUACAUUCAGUCAGUAUGGCCAGUAAAUGGAAAUGUGUGUUGCUGUCUGAAGUAAAGCUCCUGCUAUUGUCUGGAACCAGGCUACCUUUGCCCCUUUUGACAAAUACAGUAUGAAUUUCAAUCUGUGGCUCUCUGAUAUAUUUGGAAAGUAGCAAAGGAAAAUCGCACCCAAUAUGCCCACGUGUCUGUCUGUGUCAGACCUGGUCUACUCCUGCCUGGAAAGUUUGUUGGAGAGAGACACACUCACAUUCAGGGUCAUAUGAUAUCCCCUGCACUCCCCACACACCCUCUGUUCCCAGUGAAAUCAAACACUCCCAUCUUUCUCGCCUUAACUAGAAAAGCAUUUCAUACUCCUUGGAAAACAUUUCCUCUCUCACCUACGCAGGUCUCAAGCCCUCAAAAUGGUGCCUUCUGAAACCUAGACCCGCCACCUGUAUGAGGGAUGUUCAACCCUCACUGUUGAGGUGCCUGUGCUGUCACAAGACAGAAAUAAUAUAUUGUAUUUAUGCAUACUUUUGGCCUUAAAUGAAUAUGAAAUGAAACUAACUGACAGCUUUUUGCCACAUUUUAGCACUCACGACACAGUAAUAAAAAGUUAUUUUCAUUCAUUAGAUAUGUCUACUACCUCUUAAUUGUUUCCCUUAACACAGGCCUUAUUCACUUCAAAUACACUGUUCAUAGAGGAUUCAUGAGGAGGUAGAUAAGGCAUGGAGUACUUAAACACAAUGAGCACUCUGUUUCAUGUUAGCUCAACUCAGGAACAGGUGAAGGAAACAAUUUAACUGGGAAAUCAGAGAGGAAAAAGCAGAAAAUAAGGUUUAUGCUGGACAGGAUGCCUUAGAGUGGAAAUGCUGGCACAGCCUCAACUAGUUCACUCCUGGGAACACUGGCCUCGGCUCGGCUCAGAGACAGGUAACUGCGAUGACGGCUACACUAGGGUGUGUGUGUGUGUGUGUGUGUGUGUGUGUGUGUGUGUGUGUGU
Long non-coding RNA from Oncorhynchus keta (chum salmon), 1558 nucleotides. RefSeq lists it as uncharacterized. The transcript is spliced from 4 exons. NCBI's taxonomy places the organism in Eukaryota, Metazoa, Chordata, Actinopteri, Salmoniformes, Salmonidae. The record is from RefSeq and is a predicted model, not a curated record.